Coffea arabica (coffee) is the source of this 592-nucleotide long non-coding RNA. RefSeq lists it as uncharacterized. The record is from RefSeq and is a predicted model, not a curated record. Lineage: Eukaryota; Viridiplantae; Streptophyta; Magnoliopsida; Gentianales; Rubiaceae.
GGUUUGACUCAAUAUACUCAGAAAAUGUAUUACUUUGCAUGUUGAAAUACCAUCAAUCAGAAAAUGUAAAGUGGUUUCUGUGCCCUAUUUAGAUGAUCCUGAAAAAUCUAGGUAUUCCUUUCCUGUUUGCUUGUUAAAGAAUGGUGAAAUUCUGCUCGUCUUAGGUUCGGGUUUGGUUCUGUACAAUCCACAGAGCAAUACAUUCAAGUAUCGUCAGAUAAAUGGACUUGAAGAAGUGAAUAUGUAUGCUGAGAGCUUGGUUUCCCCUCUAUUCAUUGAGGAGAAUAGCCGCGUUAUUAUGAGUAAGGCUGCAGAAAUAAGGGGAGAGAGCUAAUGAUCAUCUUUUCUGCCACUUGCCGGGUGCUGGGAAGUUGAAGCUAAUGCUGGUUGAGUUUGUUUUAUCUAUUUCAACAAAAUGCAGGGAGCAUCAGAACCACAAGAGAACAAGGCAAUAAGCUUGUUCCCAGUUUCCACCCUAUGCAGGCUAGGGAAAUUUCUUAUUGCAAUAUGUUGUAUGUAAGGGAUAUGUAUGAGAUGCAAAUGACUGUAACCAUAUUCUCUUUGAUUUGGAGCAUAUUUUGGAAAUGAUGCA